RNAcentral lists this ribosomal RNA (237 nucleotides) under uncultured eukaryote. Its description in RNAcentral is "partial Bacterial large subunit ribosomal RNA". It matches the Rfam family "Bacterial large subunit ribosomal RNA", at positions 1981 to 2217 of the family's 2925-position model. The record is from RNAcentral.
UUCCGACCCGCACGAAAGGCGUAACGAUUUGGACACUGUCUCGGAGAGGGACUCGGCGAAAUAGACAUGUCUGUGAAGAUGCGGACUACCUGCACCUGGACAGAAAGACCCUAUGAAGCUUUACUGUAGCUUGAGAUUGACUUCGGGCUUUAUUUGCGCAGGAUAGGUGGGAGGCUAAGAGCAUACUUUUAUGGAAGUAUAGGAGCCGAUGGUGAGAUACCACUCUUGUAAAGCUAG